RNAcentral lists this ribosomal RNA (497 nucleotides) under uncultured bacterium. RNAcentral's name for it is "partial 16S ribosomal RNA". It matches the Rfam family "Bacterial small subunit ribosomal RNA", at positions 28 to 507 of the family's 1533-position model. The record is from RNAcentral.
GACGAACGCUGGCGGCGUGCCUAAUACAUGCAAGUUGAGCGCUGAAGGUUGGUACUUGUACCAACUGGAUGAGCAGCAAACGGGUGAGUAACGCGUGGGGAAUCUGCCUUUGAGCGGGGGACAACAUUUGGAAACGAAUGCUAAUACCGCAUAAAAACUUUAAACACAAGUUUUAAGUUUGAAAGAUGCAAUUGCAUCACUCAAAGAUGAUCCCGCGUUGUAUUAGCUAGUUGGUGAGGUAAAGGCUCACCAAGGCGAUGAUACAUAGCCGACCUGAGAGGGUGAUCGGCCACAUUGGGACUGAGACACGGCCCAAACUCCUACGGGAGGCAGCAGUAGGGAAUCUUCGGCAAUGGACGAAAGUCUGACCGAGCAACGCCGCGUGAGUGAAGAAGGUUUUCGGAUCGUAAAACUCUGUUGGUAGAGAAGAGCGUUGGUGAGAGUGGAAAGCUCAUCAAGUGACGGUAACUACCCAGAAAGGGACGGCUAACUACGUG